GACGAACGCUGGCGGCGUGCUUAACACAUGCAAGUCGAACGGAAAGGCCCUGCUUUUGUGGGGUGCUCGAGUGGCGAACGGGUGAGUAACACGUGAGUAACCUGCCCUUGACUUUGGGAUAACUUCAGGAAACUGGGGCUAAUACCGGAUAGGAGCUCCUGCUGCAUGGUGGGGGUUGGAAAGUUUCGGCGGUUGGGGAUGGACUCGCGGCUUAUCAGCUUGUUGGUGGGGUAGUGGCUUACCAAGGCUUUGACGGGUAGCCGGCCUGAGAGGGUGACCGGCCAGAUUGGGAGUGAGAUACGGCCCAGACUCCUACGGGAGGCAGCAGUGGGGAAUAUUGCACAAUGGGCGGAAGCCUGAUGCAGCAACGCCGCGUGCGGGAUGACGGCCUUCGGGUUGUAAACCGCUUUCGCCUGUGACGAAGCGUGAGUGACGGUAAUGGGUAAAGAAGCACCGGCUAACUACGUG
This 468-nucleotide ribosomal RNA is filed under the name uncultured bacterium. RNAcentral describes it as "partial 16S ribosomal RNA". It matches the Rfam family "Bacterial small subunit ribosomal RNA", at positions 28 to 507 of the family's 1533-position model. The record is from RNAcentral.